GAACUUUCUGCGGCAGGAGGGAAAAACACAAAUGCCAAAGCAUCACGUAAAAAUUCAAAAAAGGUUGUCAUCAAUCAAUUGAAAGCACCUGCAAGAGACCGAAAAGGGAAAUCUGGUCCUGCCAAUCUAAUAACAAUAAAAGAUGUUGGACCUCGGAGAACCCAAAAAGCUGAGCCGCUGGUGAAGGAAGAGGGAGAAAUGUCUGAUGAUGAGGAAGUUUACGAGCAGUUUAAGGAGCAGAAAUGGAUGGAAUGGUGUGAGGAUGUAUUGGCUGGUGAAAUCAAAACACUUGAACGUCUACAAAGAUUGCAAACAAUUAGUGCGGAUCUGCCAAAGGAGAAGGUUUAAUUAAUUCUCUUCUUUAUUUAAUCCACCAUCGUCCAUAGUGGUGGGCGUGCUGCGUCUUUUAUAAUCUUAAAAAAAAUUCCAUGUGUGAACCACAAAUAGGUGCUUUUCAAAAUCCGGAGAUAUUUGCAAAUCCUUGGGAGGAGAAUAGAUGAAGUUGUUUUAGAACACGAAGAGGAUUCGUACAAGCAAGAUAGUAAGUACACCUCUCUCUUGCUAUAGAUGAUAGUGGGAAGAGUCCUUUGCUUUGAUUUAAAAAUCGAAAUAUGCAGGAAUGACAAUGAGAUUGUGGAACUAUGUUUCAACUUUCUCAAAUCUGUCGGGGGAUCGACUCAAUCAGAUCUACUCCAAAUUGAAGCAGGAGAGAGAGGAAGAAGAAGGGGUUGGACCAUCGCAACUCAACGGCUCAACAGCCGGUAGGAGGCAACAAAGAUUCAAAACACCAGGACCUCCGCAAGUUCACAAGGGCAUUGACACAGCAAAAUUUGAAGCAUGGAAAAGGAGAAAAAGAACAGAAAAUAAUGAUGUUCAUCAAUCUGAGCGACCACUGAUGAGCAACAACUCUAACUCACUGGGAAUACUGGGCCCUGCACCAUCUGAUAGAAGCCAUCGGGCACGCCAAGCUGGAUUUCCGCCAAGAUAAGUUUACUCUGGUACUAGUAACCAUGCAAUAUGCUCUGAAUGUGAACUCUGGAUUCUCAGUAGUUCAAAAACAUAGAUACCCCCGGAAGAUUCAAUUUCUUUUUCCGAACACUGCAGCAAUGUUUGGUUUUCUGGUUGCUCAAAUUGGAGAUUUGCAUGCCCGACCAGCUGAUGCGGAAUGUUACAUAUAUAUGAUCUGAGAAACUCACAAAUUUUAUUAUUGAGCCAAGGGAUGAUAGUACUUCAUGCAUAGUGCUUUGCUUAGGUGAAAUAGCUGUGGAUGUUAGUCCGAACUCCAUUUCUUUUAUAUAUGUUAUUACCCUUGGAAUAGAGCAAAAUCAAACUGUACAUGACCAGUUUUGUUUAUUUUAAUUUCCAUAUCCCCUCUCUUAUAUUUCGCAUUUCGAAAGUUGGUUUCUAUGAAAAAGGGCAAUUGCGCCAUGAUUUGUAUAUUUACUUGCUCAUAUCUUUCGCUUUUGCUGAAGAAAACAAUUAGAGUAACUUUGUAAACAAGUUCUGUCGGUAUGUAAUAUGGACUGCUGGGAUAUGUUCCCAAUAUUCGUCAAGCUUAAUUGGGCUGAAAUGCUAUAAUACAUGUAAACUCUAUGAUAAGAAAAACAAGUGCGGCAAACUUGAGGCAAACUUGAGAGAUCAUUAGUGUGAUCAGAGCAGUGAAAUAGGUGGGAUAUUUGGUAAUGAAUCUGACAAUUUUGAAACUCGGAAUGCACAUCUGUUACUCUAGUCCUAUUACAGCGGUGUCUUUAUUAUUCAUCUCUUCAUAGAGAGUUUACUGCCAAAGAAGUAAAAAGCAGAAAAAGUCUAAGAUACCUUCCUUGAGCAUUUUAGUUUGGGUUUUAAGAAAAAAAUAACAUAAUUUAAAAACUUGCUAAAACCACUAGUUGUAGAAAUAUUUCUAGUUUAUCAAAAUUUUUGGUUUGCAAGAAUAUCAACAAGAUCUUGUUGUAGAAAUAUUUCUAGUUUUCGUCUUUAAUUCGGUUAGUUCGGUAUCAAAAAAAUAUUACUGAAGUUUUUGGCUUGCAACUAGCUCAGCUAAUUUUUAGUGGUUAGUUUGGUUAUUUCGAUUCGGAUUUCAGAUUAGUUUGGUUUGUUAGAAAACCAAAGUUUACCGAACUAAACCCAAUCUUCAAACCGAAUUAACCAAACACUGAAAUUUACGGACCGGUUCGGUUUAGGUAAUAACCGCAGGCCUAUUUGCGGCCAUUGUUUCAAGAAUACUCUUGUUUCAAAAACAAGUUGUGUGGCUCGGUCCCAUUUAUCUCCUUAUCUUUCCUCUUCACUUUUCCACCUCAAAUCUUCAUUAUUUUAUUCUAUUACAAUCUCCCUCCCUCAUACUUUUCAUCCUUUUGUUUUAUCCCCCAACUUUUGUCAUAGGUCAAAGCCCACCCACCCACCAUCUCACAAUUAUUCUAGAGAUGCACUAAAUAAGCAAGAAAUAUUUUUUUUUGUCAAAAAUAAGCAAGAAAUAUAAAAUGAUAAAGAGUAGAAGAGCAAAUAUGCAAAAAUUUCUGCCAGAUUUUCUUUCGAUGUUUAACUUGUAACCAUUGCUUAUAUUCUAGAACGAGCUUUCUGCAAUAUUAAGAUUUGGAGCGGAAGAACUUUUUAAAGAGGAUAAAAAUGAUGAAGAAAGCAAAAAGCGGCUGUUAAGUAUGGAUAUUGACGAAAUCCUAGAGAGGGCAGAGCAAGUAGAGGAAAAGGAUGCUGGCGAAUCAGAGCAUGAACUGUUGGGUGUUUUCAAGGCAAGUUCAUAUGUUUAUUUUUCCCUCUUUUAUUUGUUCGCCAGGAUAGCAAAGCAGCCCAAGUCUGCUUUGCAGGCUUCUUGGCAUAAUUUUUUUGAAUCUAUUUUUCAUUGCUUAUGUUUGUAAAAUAUCUUCCUCUGCUAAUUUUUCUGUGCAUUCAGGUUGCUAACUUUUGUAACGCUGAAGAUGAUGGGUCCUUUUGGAGUCGUUGGAUAAAACCUGAAUCUGUGGUCACAGCUGACGUAAAAUUUCUCUCUUCAAUAAUAAUACGACCUCCUUCCUAUGUCAUUUUUUUGUCUAAUUAUAAAUCGCCGUUUGUGUUAUCGUUUGUACAGGAAGCUCUUGCACCACGGGCUGCUAGGAAUACGAAGAGUUAUGUGGAUCAUGAUAGGAGCCAACCUGACAGGACCAGUAAAAGAAAAAAGAAAGGAUCUGAACCUCCAGAUAGAAGUCAAAAGCGCAGAAAAACUGAAUAUUUUGUCCCCUCAACUCCAAUAUUAGAGGGGACUACAGCUCAAGUGAGAGGCUGGUCCUAUGGAAAUCUCCCUAAGAGAGAUGCACAACGAUUUUAUCGAACUGUACGUCGGAAAUAUAUUCUUUAUCUAUUUUAAGGCUCCUCGAACUGUUGAGCCGCAAAUAAUUGACAUUAUUCAUUGUACUUGAAGGUCAUGAAGUUUGGUAACCAUAAUCAAAUUGCAUGUAUUGCGGAAGAGGUGGGUGGUGUUGUUGAAGCAGCCCCGGAGGAAGCACAGGUUGAGCUAUUUGAUGCUUUAAUUGACGGUUGUCGGGAAUCUGUUGAAACAGAAGACUUUGAAUCAAAGGUAAAACAUCUGAACUGUGAGGCUCUUUUUUUUGGUUCCACCGAAAUAAUAUCUCCAAUCUUUCCUGUUUGCUAUUUUAAUGCAGGGUCCUGUGUUGGAUUUCUUUGGUGUGCCAGUAAAAGCAAACGAACUAUUGAAACGUGUGGAAGGACUCCAGCUCUUAUCAAAGCGUAUUAGUCGAUAUGACGAUCCAAUUACACAAUUCCGGGUGUUGUCCUACCUUAAACCUUCAAAUUGGUCCAAGGGUUGCGGUUGGAAUCAGAGUACGUGCGAGAGCGUAUUCAAUAUCUGUCUCGUCUUAUGUUCUUUCAUUCUAAAUCUUGUACAUGUUUGGGGUGUUGUCAGUUGAUGAUGCGAGAUUGCUUCUGGGGAUACUUUAUCAUGGUUUUGGGAACUGGGAGAAGAUAAGAUUAGAUGAGAGCCUUGGACUUACAAAGAAGAUUGCUCCUGUUGAACUUCAACACCAUGAGACUUUUUUACCUCGUGCUCCAAACCUAAAGGAGCGUGCUACUGCUCUUCUGGAAAUGGUGAAUAUUACUUGCUUAUAAUUUAUCUUCUUUUUUUUCAAAGUGUUCUUAAUAACAUUCGUUGCAAAUAACUUUUCGCAGGAACUUUCUGCGGCAGGAGGGAAAAACACAAAUGCCAAAGCAUCACGUAAAAAUUCAAAAAAGGUUGUCAUCAAUCAAUUGAAAGCACCUGCAAGAGACCGAAAAGGGAAAUCUGGUCCUGCCAAUCUAAUAACAAUAAAAGAUGUUGGACCUCGGAGAACCCAAAAAGCUGAGCCGCUGGUGAAGGAAGAGGGAGAAAUGUCUGAUGAUGAGGAAGUUUACGAGCAGUUUAAGGAGCAGAAAUGGAUGGAAUGGUGUGAGGAUGUAUUGGCUGGUGAAAUCAAAACACUUGAACGUCUACAAAGAUUG
Molecule: long non-coding RNA, 4482 nt
Filed under: Brassica napus (rape)
Lineage: Eukaryota; Viridiplantae; Streptophyta; Magnoliopsida; Brassicales; Brassicaceae
Description: long non-coding RNA (BNAP_LNC007356)
Source: RNAcentral